Molecule: long non-coding RNA, 172 nt
Organism: Fundulus heteroclitus (mummichog)
Lineage: Eukaryota; Metazoa; Chordata; Actinopteri; Cyprinodontiformes; Fundulidae
Exons: 3
Source: RefSeq, a predicted model, not a curated record
CCUGCCGCAAACACAGGCAGCACCGGCAGCGGUGAUACAGGUGAUGGGACGCUUGCCUCACCUUCAACUCCUGCCUCAACCUCAGAGGAAAGUUCUACACCAAGAACUGAUGAUACAAGCUUUAACAGCAGUACACCAUCUACAUCCACUGGCUCAAGAUCUGCUAAUAAGA